CUAAUAGAAUCAAGCAAUGCUCUGCAUUAGCCCUAACUGUGAAAACCACUGUCUAACCACUGUCAUCUAGUGGUCAUAUUUUAGAACACAAUGAUUCUACUCAUUAUUACCUUCUUUCCAAGACAAGUAACAGCUUUAUAAAAAUGGCCAUGAUGACCAUUAAUGCAGCUAUACACACAUAAACCAUAAAAAAAUCCCCAAAUAGCUAAAAUACUGAAGUACCCUAAUACAUCUAAUGCAUCUUAAUAUUUUGUAAUACAUUUAUCUUUACCUGUUCAUGUUCUUGAGCAUUAUAAAUGAUUCAACUUAAAGAAGCUAAUCUCAGGCAGAGUUGAAAAGAAAAUUCCAAUUAAUACUUAAGUAUGAACAGACUAAUAAUCUCCACAUUACCUCACCUCUGCCCUCAAAUAUCAUGGGGUUGUUCAUAACAUUUUUACAAGUUAUGUUCCCUUUUAAAAUUUUAGAAAAUAUAAGCCUUUUUAUUCUUCUUAGCCCAAAUGACCAAAAUAUAAAAUAAAGUUAUUAGAACUAAAAUAAUUACAGCCAGUAUUAGA
RNAcentral lists this long non-coding RNA (554 nucleotides) under Bos taurus (domestic cattle). RNAcentral's name for it is "long non-coding RNA NONBTAT023925". The record is from RNAcentral. Lineage: Eukaryota; Metazoa; Chordata; Mammalia; Artiodactyla; Bovidae.